RNAcentral lists this long non-coding RNA (1639 nucleotides) under Nicotiana benthamiana. RNAcentral's name for it is "long non-coding RNA (NBEN_LNC020971)". Lineage: Eukaryota; Viridiplantae; Streptophyta; Magnoliopsida; Solanales; Solanaceae. The record is from RNAcentral.
CUCUACCCAAGGGUAGGGGUAAGGUCUGCGUACACACUACCCUCCCUAGACCCCACUAAGUGGGAUUAUACUGGGUUGUUGUUGUUGUUGUUUACCUAAGCCUCCACGGGCAGAGUUACAUGAUACUUUGUGCCGGUGGGAGGUAGCAGGUGCCUGAUGGAAUAGUUUAGGUGCGUGCAAGGCUGCAAGCUGGCCAGGACACCACCAUUAUAAAUAGAAAAAAAAGGCAUGUGAUAACUUCUAAAUACCGAGUUGUAAAGGGUACUACUAUUAGAUAGUGUAUAAACGAAUGUUCUCUUGGAAAAUAGACAGAAUUUUGGAACACCUCAAAACAGAAAAUAGGAUAGUUUGGGACAAUGGAGUAGUUUCCUGUACAUCAAUCAUGUCAGAUAUGAUUGGUGAUGAUUCCUUGACUUCUAGGUAUGAUUGGUAUAAUCUUAUUCUACCACAUGUAUGUCCCUUGUUUUGUUUUCAUUGUUCUGCAUAUUGCAACUAUUUUCUUACUUGCAAUAUCUUGUGCUGCUACACUAUCCCUUUUUGUUUGUAUAAUUCUGAAUCUUGUCAUAUCUUGCCAGGUUUAGCCCAGAAGCUCUCAGUUGGCUGUUUAUAAAGGGGUUGGUUGGCUGGUUUUUGCAAGUUUCAUUGCUGAAGAUGACAUUGUUCUCACUGGGUAGUGGAGAGGCUCCUCUCCUCGACGUUGUUUCAUAUGCAGGAUACGCUUUUACAGGAUUGUCCAUAGUUGCUGAAGAUGACGCUGUUCUCUCUGGGUAGUGGAGAGGCUCCUCUCCUUGACAUUGUUUCAUACGCAGGAUACACUUUUACAGGAUUGUCCAUAGCUCUUUUGGGAACAAUUGUAUGGAACUAUUCUUACUACUUUUUGAUGCCAUGGACAUGCUUGUGCAUGGGAAUAUUUUUGGUGAAAACGAUGAAAAGAGUUCUCUUUGCAGAGGUGAGGACGUAUGAUUCAAGUAGGCAUCAUUAUCUCCUACUGUUUAUUGCCCUAGCUCAGUUCCCUCUUCUCUUUUGGCUUGGAAAGAUUAGCCUUAACUGGUUCCUUUAGAUUACAUCUCAAGUUAUGUGGUUUGGCAGUUAGUAUGUUUUGGAAAGGGAAGCUAGCAAUUUUCUGUAUGCCUCAUUACAUAGGCAUUUUAUUCUUGAAUGCUAGACAUGUAAAUGAGCUGAUUAGCCACUUACUUUACGUCAAAUUUGUACGAAAGAGCUUGUAACGUCUAGAGGCGUCUCACUGUGUUAUCAGAAGUUCAGGAGAAGGAUUGAGAAAGCUUUUUGUGGCACUUGCGUCGUAUCGAACUAGUUUUAUGCUCUCGUCUUUUUUAUCUUAUUCAGGUAGCUUCCAUGAAAUGGAAGUGAGGCAUUUUGAUAUUCUCUAAUUUUCUUUGACCCUUGUACAAUUGCAUAUGUAGAAACUAGAAACCUCCUGUUUUGUGAAAGGUUGAAAGAACUAUGGGCUGUUGGUUCAGUUCCGGGAUACCCUAUGAGAUUAUUUAGCCCACCUCCGAUAUUGGAUAAGUAAUACCACCAUUUUGGUAUGAAUCUGUACUGGUAUUAGCUAAUACCCACAGCUAAAUAUGUGAUAACUAUAAUUCCAAAAUUUAUAUCGGGAUUAAUAUCCUUAUUCCGA